This 494-nucleotide ribosomal RNA is filed under the name uncultured bacterium. RNAcentral describes it as "partial 16S ribosomal RNA". It matches the Rfam family "Bacterial small subunit ribosomal RNA", at positions 28 to 523 of the family's 1533-position model. The record is from RNAcentral.
GAUGAACGCUAGCGGCAGGCCUAACACAUGCAAGUCGAGGGGUAUAAGUCUUCGGACUUUGAGACCGGCGCACGGGUGCGUAACGCGUAUGCAAUCUACCUUGUACAGAGGGAUAGCCCAGAGAAAUUUGGAUUAAUACCUCAUAGUAUAUUUGAAUGGCAUCAUUUAAAUAUUAAAGUUCCAACGGUACGAGAUGAGCAUGCGUCCCAUUAGUUAGUUGGUGUGGUAACGGCACACCAAGACGAUGAUGGGUAGGGGUCCUGAGAGGGAGAUCCCCCACACUGGUACUGAGACACGGACCAGACUCCUACGGGAGGCAGCAGUGAGGAAUAUUGGUCGAUGGAGGCAACUCUGAACCAGCCAUGCCGCGUGCAGGAUGACGGUCCUAUGGAUUGUAAACUGCUUUUAUACGGGAAGAAAAAGAGUUACGUGUAACUUAUUGACGGUACCGUAAGAAUAAGGAUCGGCUAACUCCGUGCCAGCAGCCGCGGUAA